Small nuclear RNA from Oxyura jamaicensis (ruddy duck), 192 nucleotides. RefSeq annotates it as U2 spliceosomal RNA. The record is from RefSeq and is a predicted model, not a curated record. The transcript has a single exon. Lineage: Eukaryota; Metazoa; Chordata; Aves; Anseriformes; Anatidae.
AUGGGACUCUCAGCCUUUUGGCUAAGAUCAAGUGUAGUAUCUGUUCUUAUCAGUUUAAUAUCUGAUAUGUCAUUAAUGAGAGGUCUUUAUAUUAAACGGAUUUUUGGUCUUGGGAGUUGAAUCUGGAGUUUGCUCCCUCCACUCCACACAUCAUCCUAGUAUUGUAGUACUUCCAGGAAUGGUGCACCUCCU